UGGGGAAUAUUGGACAAUGGACCGAGAGUCUGAUCCAGCAAUUCUGUGUGCACGAUGAAGUUUUUCGGAAUGUAAAGUGCUUUCAGUUGGAAAGAAAAAAAUGACGGUACCAACAGAAGAAGUGACGGCUAAAUACGUGCCAGCAGCCGCGGUAAUACGUAUGUCACGAGCGUUAUCCGGAUUUAUUGGGCGUAAAGCGCGUCUAGGUGGUUAUGUAAGUCUGAUGUGAAAAUGCAGGGCUCAACUCUGUAUUGCGUUGGAAACUGUGUAACUAGAGUACUGGAGAGGUAAGCGGAACUACAAGUGUAGAGGUGAAAUUCGUAGAUAUUUGUAGGAAUGCCGAUGGGGAAGCCAGCUUACUGGACAGAUACUGACGCUAAAGCGCGAAAGCGUGGGUAGCAAACAGG
RNAcentral lists this ribosomal RNA (407 nucleotides) under uncultured Fusobacterium sp. RNAcentral describes it as "bacterial SSU rRNA". It matches the Rfam family "Bacterial small subunit ribosomal RNA", at positions 355 to 776 of the family's 1533-position model. The record is from RNAcentral. Lineage: Bacteria; Fusobacteriati; Fusobacteriota; Fusobacteriia; Fusobacteriales; Fusobacteriaceae.